This 253-nucleotide ribosomal RNA is filed under the name uncultured bacterium. RNAcentral's name for it is "partial 16S ribosomal RNA". It matches the Rfam family "Bacterial small subunit ribosomal RNA", at positions 524 to 776 of the family's 1533-position model. The record is from RNAcentral.
UACAGAGGUCCCGAGCGUUGUUCGGAUUCACUGGGCGUAAAGGGUGCGUAGGUGGCUUGAAAAGUUCGGUGUGAAAGCUCGGAGCUUAACUCCGAAAUGUCAUUGAAUACUAUCUGGCUGGAGGGUCGGAGGGGAGACUGGAAUUUACGGUGUAGCAGUGAAAUGCGUAGAUAUCGUAAGGAAGACCGGUGGCGAAGGCUAGUCUCUGGACAGUUACUGACACUGAGGCACGAAGGCCAGGGGAGCAAACGGG